Molecule: long non-coding RNA, 767 nt
Filed under: Gorilla gorilla gorilla (western lowland gorilla)
Lineage: Eukaryota; Metazoa; Chordata; Mammalia; Primates; Hominidae
Description: lncRNA (ENSGGOG00000044299.1)
Source: RNAcentral
GGUUUCGCGGCGCUAGCCGCACUGGUUGUUCAGCACCUUCGGUCCGGUUGAGGUUGUCAAGUCGGACCAAAUAGGUUGUUUCUCUGCAGUUUCCGACAUGGCAGGGAGGUUUAAUAGACAUGGAUAAGAAGUCCACUCACAGAAAUCCUGAAGAUGCCAAGGCUGGCAAAUAUGAAGGUAAACACAAACGAAAGAAAAAAAGAAAGCAAAACCAAAACCAGCACCGAUCCCAACAUAGAUCAGUGACAUCUUUUUCUUCAGAUGAUCCUAUGUUUCCUUCUUCCUCAUCAUCAUCUUCAGGAAGCCAGACAGAUUCAAGUAUUGAAGAUGCUGCCAAGGGAAAAAUUAAGAAGAAGAUAAGAGAGAAAACAAAUAAAUGGAGGGAAAAAAGAAAGGUUAGUAAUUGUGAGUAAUAUAAGAAUAGGAUUUGGCUAUUAGAGGAUAUUGUACGUAUUAAUUAAGAAACAGAAUCUAUAAGGAAUUUGAAGAGAUAAAAGUCAAGGAUUGGUUAACAUGGUAGUUAACAUGGUGCUAAGCUUAUAGUGUCCUUUGCUGCUUUUCAAAUACUUCUCAGAAAACUAUGCAGACAGGUAAAACCUUAUAAUUACAAUUCUUUAGAUUCUUUUUAAUUUUGGUGUUAACAUAGUUAUAAAAUAGCCUAUGUGCUUUGAAAUAAAUGCAAGUAAUAGAGACAUAAAUUAAAUGAAAGGCAAAAUAGCUACACUCUUUUCUCUUUAUUUAAUUUCCCUAUGCUUAUCACUCAAGUA